RNAcentral lists this long non-coding RNA (3529 nucleotides) under Sus scrofa (pig). Its description in RNAcentral is "lncRNA (ENSSSCG00025002833.1)". The record is from RNAcentral. Lineage: Eukaryota; Metazoa; Chordata; Mammalia; Artiodactyla; Suidae.
UUUUUUUUGUUUUUUUUUUUUGUCUUUUGUCUUUUGUCGUUGUUGUUGUUGUUGUUGUUGCUAUUUCUUGGGCCGCUCCCUGUGGCAUAUGGAGGUUCCCAGGCUAGGGGUUGAAUCGGAGCUGUAGCCACCGGCCUACGCCAGAGCCACAGCAACGCGGGAUCCGAGCCGCGUCUGCAACCUACACCACAGCUCACGGCAACGCCAGAUCGUUAACCCACUGAGCAAGGGCAGGGACCGAACCCACAACCUCAUGGUUCCUAGUCGGAUUUGUUAACCACUGCGCCACGACGGGAACUCCAGCAUCCAAUCUUGAUUCAAUAUUUAAUCAACUUUUUUUUUUCUUUUUUGGCUGCUCCUGUGACAUAUGGAAGUUCCCAGGCCAGGGAUCGAAUCCUAGCUGCAGCUACAGUAACUCACUGUGCUGAGCCAGGGAUUGAACCAGCACUGCUGCAGAGACACCACCAGAUCCUUAACCGAGUGCACCACAGUGGGAACUCCAAUCAAAUAUUUAAAUAGGAAAUGAUUAAUACUUUCUUAUUACAAUUUAUAUAUAUAAAUAUAUACAUAUGCUUAGCCUCCAAAUCAGCAUCUGAUAAGAGGGGGAAUACCUGAAGUCAAGUUUAAGGCAUGGACUCCCAUUAUUUCUACCACUUAUUAUGAUUGGAGGUAUUAGCAAACAUAAUUAGUAAAAAAAAAAGAAUUGGAAAGGAAAAGAUAAAAUUAUCUCUAUUUGCUGAAGACAUGAUAGAAUACCUAGAAAACGUAAAACAAAGGUAAAACUAAGAUAAACAAUAGGAGAAUUCAUCCAGUUAGUAGAAUAUAAAAACAUAUAAAAAUCAACACAAAAGAAAAGAAACCAAGAUUAAAUGCUUGAGUAUAAACUUAGAAAUUUGCAACACUUACAUGAAUGAAAGUUUAAAACUAACUCCUGAUGGACUGAGAAAUUCAAGAGUAAAUUUGACUAAGCGGAAUGAUGUCUCUCGUUCUUGGUCAAUUCAUCAUCAUAAAAAUAUUAGCUCUCUCCAAGUUAAUAUGUACGUUUAACCUGAAACCAAUAAAAGUUUGGAUUGAAAUAGGGUCUACUCAAGGUAACUGACUGAUAUCUUUUAAGUCUCUUCCUAUUUACAGCGCUUCUUAGUCUCUCACCCUUUCCCUUUUCCUCACACUAAGACCACCAUCCCCAGGUAAUCUCUCUAGCAAGACAGACCUCAUUAUGCGAUGGCUGUUUUCUGAGAACAAGGAGGAGGCAGCAAGAUCUUUAAGAUGCAGCCUUGCAAGCUGCGUGUCACUUCUGACACAUAUUAUUAAUCAUAGUCAGUCACUGGGCCAGCCCAGAUUCAAGGAAAAGGGAAAUAGACUCUUAUCUCAAUUUGAAAAACUGGCAAAGUAACAUUGUAAAAAAUAAAAAAGCAUGUGGGAUGGGAACUACUGUUACAGCCAUCUUUGCAAACACAAUCUACCAUAAAAUGCAAAUGAAAACUACAAAAAAACUUUCGCAUCCAUCAAAUUGCAAAAAUCUAAAAGUUGACAGUGGCAGGCUCGAAAGAAAUAGGCAAUCUCAUGCACUGCAGGUGGAAGUAGAGUGUGGUAAAGGCGCUAUGCAAGGGAAUCUGACAAUAAUUACCCUUUGACAGCAAUCAAUCAUAAUCCUACUUCUACCUACUUGAAUAGAAUAUGUACAUAUGCUGGUUGCGUUAACUUCACUUUUCUUUUCCUUGACCCAUAAGAGUAAGCAGUACAGAAGCUAUGAUUUUCAUUCUUUUAAAAUAACUAAAAGCAUCAUCAACUGAUAUGCUGAGCACCAUUGCUGGUCUUAUAUUCUGAUAAACAGAGGAACUCACGGUAUAUCUGAUAAGGUCUGAUUCUGCAAGUAACUUAAUAUUCUGCAUAUUUAUGUAAAGAUGAACUUUAGCUUCCAAGUUAUUCUUAAAUUAAUAUGUAAUGAAAUCAUUUGUCUGGGUAUUUCCUAUGCAUUCCCGUUAAUCUCCUAAUGACUUUAUAUUAGGCAUUGCACCUCACACUCCAAAAUUAGUAACAGACUUAUCAGAACUAUUUUCACAUAUACAUAUACUCCAUGUACACCUGAACAUAAGCAGGUUUAUUUCUAACUAUCCCUCAGAAGUCUUCUUUGUUGAGGCCUCACAAAAUCUCUUUACAAGGAGUACUCUCAAUUAUUUAUUUGAAUUUCAGGUAAUAGUUGGGAAAUCACAUUAGACUGAAGCCACUUCUAUCAAUGUUACUUUCAGAAAGCUAAAAAUAAAUAAAUAAAUAAAUAAGCCACCAGGUGAAGUAUUUAAAAACAAGACAUCUUAGUUCCCAUUGUGGCUGAAUGGGUUAAGAACCCAAAUAGUAUCCAUGAGGAUGGGGGUUUGAUCCCUGGCCUUGCUCAGUGGGUUAAGGAUCCGGUGUUACUGUGAGCUGCAGCACAGGCCACAGAUGACGCUGGGAUCUGGUGUUGCUGUGGCUGUGGCAUAUGCCUUAGCUGCAGCUCCGAUUCAACCCCAGCCUGGGAACUUACAUAUGCCACAGGUGUGGCCCUGAAAAGAAAAAUAAUAAUAAAAAAAAAGAGAUAAAGAAAUAUAACAAUGACUUAGUUAUUAUUCUUAGAGACAUGAUCUCAAAAACAAGCAUAGUAUGCAUUACAACAAGCAUUUUAAAGAUCACUUUUGGCACAACACGGUAAAUCAAUUAUACUCUAAUUUUUAAAAAGUAAAAAAAUAAAGAUCACUUUUAAGAACAAUAGAAGUGGUUAUACAAUGCAGAAAUUAAUUACCUACAGGAUGCAUGAAAACCAUUUCUAAUUUGAUAUUUAUACAAUGAAUAAUCUGAAGCAUGAAAUUUCUUUUAUCAUACCUGUGUAAAACAUUCCUAUCUUUCAAAACAAAUUAUUUUUCCUAUUAUAGUUGCUUUAUAAUGUUCUGCCAAUUUCUGCUGUACAGCAGAGACCGUCACACACACACGCACACAUUCUUUUUCUUACAUUAUCCUCCAUCAUGUUCCAUCACAAGUGAUUAUAUUUCCCUGUGCUACACACCAGGAUCUCAUUGCUUAUCUACUCCAAAUGCAAUAGUCUCCAUCUACUAACCCCAAACUCUCAGUCCAUCCCACUCCCUUCCCCUUGGCAGCCACAAGUUUGUUCUCCAAGUCCAUGAGUUUGUUUCUUUUCUGUAAAUAGGUUCAUUCGUGCCAUAUAUUGGAUUCCAGAUAUGUUAUAUCACAUGGUAUUUGUCUUUCCCUUUCUGAUUUUCUUCACUUGGUAUGAGUCUCUAGUUCCAUCCAUGUUGCUGUAAAAAAGCAAAUUACUUUCUUUCAAAACACAUUACUUUUCUUCAAAUAAAUUUACACAAGAAGCUGACAAAAUGUCAAAGAUAAAUGUAAAAAUGAGAACACAAGUAAAAAAAAGUUUAAAAACAUGCAUACAUAAAUGUCUAUUUCAUCUCUAAACUAUGAUCUGUAGAUUCAAAUCUAACAAAACUUUUUUUUUUUUUUUUUUACAAUUACCAUAGAGCAAAUUCAGGCAACUUCC